CAAUAAUUGAGCGUGAAACUACUUUAAAGUCCUUCUAAAUUAAAAAGAAGAGAUUAAAAUGAACACAGACAGAGUUUGUUCCAAUACAAGCUGUGCCAUUGUACAGGGAGAAGCAGCAGUUUCCCAGCACCUGGUGACAUCAUAAGGAACCCUCCAAGUGUUUCCUGGAAGCAACAAACCCAGUUAUCUUCAACCGACGUGGGGGAAAUAAGAUUUAAGGAGCGUCUCUAAAUGUGGCCGAGGGCGCGACAUCCACCGUGCCUUUGGCUCCGGACGAUCACAGGAUGAAGAAGGAUCCUUCAUCUUCUUCAUCAUGUUGUUUCUCCAGAGAGGGACGAGACUGGAGACGGGCUGUUUUAACAAGAAGGAGCUCUUCUGGACGCAUCUAUCAACCAAGAAAAAACAAAACAAUUGGCUGUGACAGGCCAGACCACAACCUGCUGCCAUUGGCCAAAGUGAAGAGGAUGAUGUGCGUCAACUUCAAAACACUGAGAAGAGGCUACGACGGGGGGGGGGGAGAAAAGGACA
Non-coding RNA from Labrus bergylta (ballan wrasse), 528 nucleotides. The record is from RefSeq and is a predicted model, not a curated record. NCBI's taxonomy places the organism in Eukaryota, Metazoa, Chordata, Actinopteri, Labriformes, Labridae.